AUGCGGUAUGACGGUACCCUUUCGAAUAAGAGGUUGCUAACUCUGUGCCAGCAGCAGCGGUAAUACAGAGACCUCGAGCGUUAUCCGGAUUUACUGGGCGUAAAGCGUCUGUAGGGGGUUUGUUAAGUUCCAAGUAAAAUCUUAAGGCUCAACUUUAAGUUCGCUUGGAAAACUAAUAAACUGGAGUCCAGCAGAGGUGCAUGGAACUUGCGGUGUAGGAGUGAAAUCCGUUGAUAUCGCAAAGGAACACCAAAGGCGAAGGCAUUGCACUGGGCUGGUACUUGACCCUGAGAGACGAAAGCGUGGGGAGCAAAACGGAUUAGAUACCCGUGUAGUCCACGCCGUAAACGAUGGAUACUAGAUGUUCGGGGAUUCGACCCCCUGGGUGUCACAGCUAACGCGUUAAGUAUCCCGCCUGGGAAGUACGGCCGCAAGGCUAAAACUCAAAGGAAUAGACGGGGAUCCGCACAAGCGGUGGAGCGUCUGGUUUAAUUUGAUAGUAAGCAAUGGACCUCACCAAGGUUUGACAUCCUAUGACAACCCUGGAAACAGGGCUUCCUUCGGGCAUAGUGACAGGUGCUGCAUGGUCGUCGUCAGUUCGUGCCGUGAGGUGUUCCGUUAAGUCGGGAAACGAACGAAACCCUCGUCGCAUGUUACAAAUUUCAUGCGAGACUGCCCGGGUCAACCGGGAGGAAGGCGGGGAUGACGUCAGAUCAGCAUGGCCCUUAUA
This 730-nucleotide ribosomal RNA is filed under the name uncultured organism. RNAcentral's name for it is "bacterial SSU rRNA". It matches the Rfam family "Bacterial small subunit ribosomal RNA", at positions 462 to 1206 of the family's 1533-position model. The record is from RNAcentral.